AGUGAACGCUGGCGGCGUGCUUAACACAUGCAAGUCGAACGAGAACGGGUUAUAGCUUGCUAUAAUUGUCAGCUAAGUGGCGCACGGGUGAGUAAUGUAUAGGUAAUAUGCCUCUUACUAAGGGAUAACAAAUGGAAACGUUUGCUAAUACCUUAUACUCCUUAUUAACAGAAGUUAAUAAGGGAAAGAUUUAUUGGUAAGAGAUUAGCCUGUAUUGUAUCAGUUAGUUGGUGGGGUAAUGGCUUACCAAGACUAUGACACAUAACUGGUUUGAGAGGAUGAUCAGGCACACUGGAACUGAGACACGGUCCAGACUCCUACGGGAAGCAACAGUAGAGAAUAUUGCACAAUGGACGAAAGUCUGAUGCAGCAACGCCGCGUGGAGGAUGACACAUUUCGGUGCGUAAACUCCUUUUAUAUGAGAAGAUAAUGACGGUAUUAUAUGAAUAAGCACCGGCUAACUCCGUGCCAGCAGCCGCAGUAA
RNAcentral lists this ribosomal RNA (484 nucleotides) under uncultured bacterium. RNAcentral's name for it is "partial 16S ribosomal RNA". It matches the Rfam family "Bacterial small subunit ribosomal RNA", at positions 29 to 523 of the family's 1533-position model. The record is from RNAcentral.